This 723-nucleotide ribosomal RNA is filed under the name Chaetaspis ohionis. RNAcentral describes it as "partial large subunit ribosomal RNA". The record is from RNAcentral. Lineage: Eukaryota; Metazoa; Arthropoda; Diplopoda; Polydesmida; Macrosternodesmidae.
UAUUGUUUAGUGAUGAAAUAUUAUUCAAGCUGUUUUUUAUCUAGUUUUUAAAGAAAAUAAUUUGUGGUGGGUUCAUUAGGUUGUUGGUUUGGGAUUAGCUAAACUAAGAGUUGUGGUAUAUGUAAGAUAUUGGUUAGGUUGUUGGUGAAAUUAAUAAUAUUUAUUGUUAUUGUGUUAUAAUAUGAUAAGGUUUAUGAGGUUAGUUUUUAGCAUUACUUUUAGUACUUAAAAGAUAUUUUUAGCGGUGUUUUGUUUUGCUAUAAUGGUUAAAUUAGUAAUAGAAGAAUUAAGUAAUAGCGAGGUGAAGGAUGUUAUUUUGGAGUGAUUUUUAGUUUUUAUUUUGGUUGUUGAAUUCGGCAAAGUGUUUUUUGACUGUUUAGCAAAUACAUUGUUUUUUGUUGUGAUAAAAAGUAUUGUCUGUCCACUGCUUAUUGGUAAAGGACUGCAGUAUUUUGACUGUAUUAAGGUAGCAUAAUCAUUAGUUUUUUGAUUAGGAACUGGGAUGAAGGUAAAACAGGGAAUAACUUUAAAUAUGUAUAUAGAAUGAAUUUUAUUAUUGGGUGAAAAAGCUUAGUUAAGUAAAAGGGACAAGAAGACCCUAAUGAGCUUUAGUUUUUGUCUUCUGGGGUUAGAAUUUAAUUAUUGGCUAAAUUAUGAUUACUGGGGGGUUUGAUAAUUUUGAUUGGGGCGAUUAGUUAUAAACUUAAUUAAUAUUUUAAUUUU